UUAUACGGGAAGAAACGCACCUACGUGUAGGUGUCUGACGGUACCGUAAGAAUAAGGACCGGCUAACUCCGUGCCAGCAGCCGCGGUAAUACGGAGGGUCCGAGCGUUAUCCGGAAUCAUUGGGUUUAAAGGGUCCGUAGGCGGGCCUGUAAGUCAGGGGUGAAAGUUUGUGGCUCAACCAUAAAAUUGCCUUUGAUACUGCAGGUCUUGAGUCAUGGUGGGGUCGCCGGAACAUGUGGUGUAGCGGUGAAAUGCAUAGAUAUCACAUAGAACACCGAUCGCGAAGGCAGGUGACCAACCAUGUACUGACGCUGAUGGACGAAAGCGUGGGUAGCGAACGGGAUUAGAUACCCCGGUAGUCCACGCCGUAAACGAUGGAUACUAGCUGUGGGGACUUCGGUCUCCGUGGCCAAGCGAAAGUGAUAAGUAUCCCACCUGGGGAGUACGUUCGCAAGAAUGAAACUC
This 465-nucleotide ribosomal RNA is filed under the name uncultured bacterium. Its description in RNAcentral is "bacterial SSU rRNA". It matches the Rfam family "Bacterial small subunit ribosomal RNA", at positions 434 to 902 of the family's 1533-position model. The record is from RNAcentral.